AUCUUUAAGAAAACAUUUAAAGUAAAACCUGCUCAAUGAACAUUUAAAUAGCCGCAGUUUAAUCUGUGCUAAGGUAGCAUAAUAAUUUGCUUCUUAAUUAGAAGAUAGAAUGAACGGUUAAACGAAGAAAAACUGUCUCAUAAAUUAAAAUUAACUUAAAAUAUUAGUAAAAAUUCUAAUAUAAAUAUGAAAGACGACAAGACCCUAACAAACUUAACAUUUAGUUGGGGCAACAAAAUAAAUACACUUUAUUAUAGUAUAUAUAACUUUACAAUAUAAUAUAAGCUAGUUACUGUAGGGAUAACAGCGCAAUUCUUUUUAAGAGUUCUAAUUAAAAAAAGAUAUUACGACCUCGAUGUUGAAUUAGUUACCCUUUACGGUGCAAAAGCUAUAAAGGUGCGGUCUGUUCGACCAAUAUAAAAC
This 423-nucleotide ribosomal RNA is filed under the name Smeringopina kribi. Its description in RNAcentral is "partial 16S ribosomal RNA". It matches the Rfam family "Bacterial large subunit ribosomal RNA", at positions 1828 to 2596 of the family's 2925-position model. Lineage: Eukaryota; Metazoa; Arthropoda; Arachnida; Araneae; Pholcidae. The record is from RNAcentral.